Molecule: microRNA precursor, 143 nt
Filed under: Paramuricea clavata
Lineage: Eukaryota; Metazoa; Cnidaria; Anthozoa; Malacalcyonacea; Plexauridae
Source: RNAcentral
GUUACGAAAUGUUGUAAAAUACAGAAAAUAUAGCCUUGCUUUCGGCUCAAAAAUGGUAACAAUUUCCGCACGUAAUACAAACAUACUGAAAAUAUGCAAACUUCGCAAGGCUAUAUUUUCUGUAUUUUACAACAUUUCGUAGC